Molecule: non-coding RNA, 848 nt
Organism: Cinara cedri
Lineage: Eukaryota; Metazoa; Arthropoda; Insecta; Hemiptera; Aphididae
Source: the annotation of a GenBank genome assembly
GUGGAGUUGUGUAAUAUAUGCAACAAACAUUUAUUGUAUUUAGUAUUAUUAUUCCUAUAAUUAGUGUUACUUAAAAGAAUAUUUGAGUGCACUGAUAGGAAUGGUGUACUGUACAGCCCAUUGCUUGGUGUGAAAAAUUAGUGGUGGCCCAGUGUUAAACAAUUUUUGAAAAUAAAGCUCUAUCUCAAAUCUAAUCAAGGGUAGACUAUCUAUAUUGUAUAAAUAUGGUAUACAGGGUGAUCAAUAUAAUGUAAGAUCCUAAUUAUUUUGGAAAGUAUUAACUUUUUUCAGAAUUUAUUUUUUAGAUAAUUUAAGAAAUAACUAGCUCUAAACUGUUACAUUAUAGUUAUUUUAAAGGGUAAAAUCAUUGUCUGAUUUUGAUUUUUUAAAUGGUGAUCUAUAUUAAAAUUCUGUAAAUAGCUGCAGUAUAAAUUUAAAUAAAUUUUAGUGUUGAGAUUUCUGAUAAUAAUAAUGUGUGUUAAUAAUGCAUCACCACUCCCCAACCCAAACUUAAAAGUGGAAUAUCUCGUCAACGGAUAGACGAAAAUCAAAAAUUUCAACACCAAAAUGUAUUUUAACUAAUACGUCAUCUAUUUAUGAAAUUUUUAAUAUAGGUUGCCAUUUAAAAAUCAAAAGUAGGUAAGUGGUAUUACCUACAAAAAUAAGGAUGACAAAAAAAUAACAUAAAUAUAAAAUUGUAGAGCAGCUUGUUUCUAAAAUGUUCUAGAAAAUAAAUUCUGGAAAAGGUUUUUCUUACUUAGUACUUAGUACUUUCCGAGAUAAUGAGUGUACCGACUUAAAUGGAUCACCUGGUAUAUGGAAUACUAUGUUGCUAAUUAUUCUGCCAC